Molecule: long non-coding RNA, 712 nt
Organism: Diabrotica virgifera virgifera (western corn rootworm)
Lineage: Eukaryota; Metazoa; Arthropoda; Insecta; Coleoptera; Chrysomelidae
Exons: 3
Source: RefSeq, a predicted model, not a curated record
CUUUUGCGUUCAUUUUCAAAUUCGCCGUGCAUAUAUUUUUGUUCAUGGCGCUUGAGAGGGCAUCACGUGACUAAAAACGACCAACCAACGACCUCGCUUCGGCCAUCUUGGCAUCUUCAUCUUGGCGACCUUGCCUUGCCGUGGAUUGUUUUUAGUUGUUUGUAUUAUUUGUGCUUUUUAAGAAUAUUUUUUUAAUUCGGAUACUUUUAUAAUAGCUUUAAUAGUAUUAUUAACAUAGUGCAUAAAAUGGUGUCCUGUUUUUAACGCAGUUGGAGUAGCAGAAACAAAUGUAGAUAAAAAAAUCUGCAGGAAUAACGUUUCAAUUAUGACAGAAGCUCCAAACAAAUGACUGAAUGAAAAGCCCUAUUAAAAGCUUUCCAGAAGAUCCUGCGAAGAAGACAUGAAGUAUAGAUCAGAUUUGUUAAUAGAGGAGUAUGUUCAAAACACUUUUUAGAAAAAGAUAUUGACAGAACUUCACUUUCAUCUGUUCGUUUGAGAGACUGUGCUGUUCCAAUAGCUUAUGUCACACAGAAUCAGCUGAGAGAAGUGGUCUACAAAAAACCAGAAAGGAAACGGAAUAUGUGGCUACGAAAAGCAAAAGAAAGGUUUACAAAGCAAAUGUGACACAUUUUUUUAUAAUAUUUAGGAAUGUCAGCAAAUUACAUUAAAAAAUGUAUGUAAAGAUUUUUUGCAAUAAAAAUGUUUAUAUUUA